UACAGCGAUCGGGUUGGUCGAUCUCGGAGGUCUCUGCGUCGAUUCUUUUCCAAGAGUUUUCCCUGCAAAUAGCUGUAGAAAGAUUCAGCAAAAGGUUCACUUGUAUAUCUGUUCUAAACGUUGAUAUAGUGAACGCAUGGUAGUUUAGUUCUACCCCCAGACGUACCGCGAGGGAACUGGGUUAACAAGUUUGCCUGUGUCAUUAGUCUAGAUUCUUCCGCAAGAACACCUUAGUUGAAUCUAGCUCAAUCGAAUUGAUCAAGCUUUUGGGACUAAGAAAUUGAUUCUAGUGUUAGUCGGAUUUCUUAACAAAGUGGUAUCAGAGCAUAGGCUUAUAGAUCGCCGGAGGGAUUACGGUUAAGUGAUCAGGGGGCGAUCUUGGAUCUGAGUUCGAUUGGUUAUCUUUGAAAUUCCUGAAGUCAGUCGAGUUUCUUCUUGGACCAAGUUAUUACUGCAUUCUUUUGGUCUUGGCUCAAGAACAGGAAAGAUGGAAGCAGUUAAGAAGUUUGAGAUGGAGAAGUUUGAUGGCAAAGGUGAUUUCGGUAUGUGGAAGUUUCGCAUGUUGAUGCAACUUGAGUUGCAAGGUUUUGGGAAACAAGUAAAGGAAAUCACAGGAGAGGUUAAGGAUGACACAAAAGGCAAGGACUUAGAAGAAGUGGACUCUGAAACAGGUGUGGCGUUAACUCCGGACCAGAUCAUAGAAAGAGAUGUGAGAAUCCGGAAUCUCAUAUGCUCAAGCUUAACAUCAAUGGUCCUCAGAAAAGUCAUGAAGGAAACGACAGCAGCUGGUGUGUGGAAAGCCUUAGAGGCUGAUUAUCAGACGAAGACUCUACCUAACAGAAUCUAUCUCAAGCAACGGUUUGCAAGUUACAGGAUGGACAAGAAUAAAUCAAUAGAUGAAAACAUGGAUGGUUUCUUGAGACUGGUUGAUGAGUUGGAAAGUUUGAAUAUCCAGAUAAGCGAUGAAGAUUAAGCCAUUCAAGUGUUGUCCGGGUUGCCCGAACAGUAUGCUUCUUUGGUGCACACAUUGAAGUAUGGAAACAAAGGCAAGGAUACCCUGACACUAGCUGAAGUGGUGCAAUCAGCUCACGCAAAGGAGGUGGAGCUUCGUGAGUCUGGUCUCUUGAAUAAGUCAAACCACACAUCAGAAGGGUUAUACGCGGGUCAAGGAAAGUCUGUAAAGAAAAGCAAAGGAAAGUUUGCUGGGGGAAAACAGAAGUCUGGGAAAUCAAAGAAGGAUUCCCAGGGAGGACAAGUCAAAGCACGAGAGUGCUGGGUGUGUGGCAAGGAAGGUCAUUUUAAGAAAGACUGUCCACAAAAGAAAACUCAGGCAUCCUCAAGCUCAGCAAAUUUGGCUCAAGAAAGUGAGAAACCAAUGAUUCUCACGGCGAGCACAAAAUAUGCUAAAGACGAGUGGGUGCUGGAUUCAGGGUGUACGUUUCACAUCACACCAGAAAAGGAUCUACUAUUUGAUCUCACGGAAUUUAAUGGAGGAAAAGUGUUAAUGGGAAAUAACACAUUUAGUGAGAUCAAAGGUAUAGGAAAACUGAAGAUUGUUAAUCCAAGCAAUUCAACAGUUGUUCUAACUGAGGUAAGAUACAUGCCAUCAAUGGGCAGAAAUCUGAUUUCCUACGGACAGUUGGAAAAGGAAGGAUGUUCUUAUGAAGGGAAAGAUUUCACGGUCACAUUCAAAAAGGAUGGGAAGAAUGUUCUUACUGGAAAGUAUAAAGACGGGCUCUACUACUUACAAGGGUCAGUAGUUGAAGGAGAGGUGGAUACAGUUUCUAGAGCUGCGGUUAAUCUGACAAACAGGUGGCAUUCCAGGUUGGGGCACAUGAGCUUAAAGAAUAUGAAUCAGUUGGUUAAAGAUGGUUAUCUUAACAAAAAGGAAGUUCAUACUCUGGAUUUUUGUGAAGAAUGUGUUCUUGGGAAAGCACACAAGUUAAGUUUUCCAACAGGCAAGCAUACAUCAACCGUGAACUUAGAAUAUGUUCACAGUGAUCUUUGGGGAUCUGCAGCGAAUUCUGAGAGCUUAUCAGGCUGUAAAUAUUUCUUGACCAUCAUUGAUGACUAUUCCCGAAAGGUCUGGAUCAGAUUUCUAAGGAGUAAAGAUGAAGUGUUUGGAAAUUUUUCAGAAUGGAAGCUCUUGGUGGAAAAUCAGACGGGUAAAAAGAUCAAGUGUCUCAGGACGGAUAAUGGGUUGGAAUUUUUCAAUGUUCAAAUGGACAAGAUAUGCAAGGACUCAGGAAUAAAGAGGCAUAGGACCUGUACCUAUACUCCACAGCAAAAUGGGGUUUCAGAAAGGAUGAACAGGACCAUUGCUGAUAAGGUUAGGUGUAUGUUAGCGGAAUCUGGAUUGGAGAAAAAGUUUUGGGCAGAAGCAGCAUCUACAGCAGUAUAUCUCAUCAACAGGACACCUAAUGCAUCACUUAAGUUCAAGAUACCAGAAGAGUUGUGGUCAGGGACAAAAAUCGGAUAUGAUCAUCUCAGAAGGUUCGGGUGUAUAGCUUAUGUUCAUACUAUUCAAGACAAGAUCAGUCCUCGGGCUUUAAAAGGUAUUUUUAUGGGGUAUCCUCAUGGAACCAAGAGUUACAGGAUCUGGUUGUUAGAAGAACAAAAGACUACAAUCAGCCGAAAUGUUAUCUUUGAUGAAUCCAGGGUGUAUAAGGAUUUGGGGAAAAAUGAAGAAGAAAGCCUUGAACUUAGUGAAAAGGUUGUCAUUAACCCAAAGACUAAGAAGGUCCCAGGCUCAAGGGUCACAAGAGUAAACAGAGCAGGCUCAUCUGGAAGGAGACGAUCUACGGUUCAAGGUGGAGCUGUUUCAGUUGAGUCAGAAGAUUCAGAUACCGAAGAAAAUGGGUCUGAGGGUGAUCAAGAAGAUGGUUCUGAACAGGAAAAUGCAGGGGUGGAAGAAAAUCUAGAUAACUAUAUCUUAGCUAGGGACAGAGAAAGAAGAACGAUUCGUCCCCCAGCAAUGUUUGAAAGUGGGGACUAUGUUGCUUAUGCCCUAGCAAGUGCAGAAUUGAUUGAACCUCAAGAACCGAGAACUGUUUCAGAAGCGAGAAGAAGUAAAGAGUGGAAACAGUGGAAUGAGGCCAUGGUAGAGGAGAAGCAAUCUCUUGAUAAAAAUCACACAUGGGACAUUGUGGAUAGACCUCAGAAAAAGAAGAUCGUUGGUUCGAAAUGGAUUUUCAAAUUGAAAGAGGGAAUUCCAGGAGUUGAACCACCUAGAUACAAAGCAAGACUUGUAGCUAAGGGAUUCACUCAGGUGGAAGGAAUAGACUACAACGAGAUCUUCUCUCCAGUAGUGAAACAUGUCUCGAUAAGGAUAAUGCUAUCAGUGGUUGUGAAUUUCGAUAUGGAACUCGAGCAACUAGACGUGAAGACUGCAUUCCUUAAUGGUAAACUAGAUGAAACUAUUUACAUGGAACAACCAGAGGGUUUUAUCGAGAAAGGAAAUGAAGGAAAGGUAUGUCUGUUGAAGCGGUCUCUUUAUGGUUUAAAACAGUCGCCGAGACAGUGGAAUCACAGGUUCAAUGAGUUCAUUCAGUCACAAGGUUUUAAGAGAAGUGUGAAGGAUCCAUGCGUGUAUUACAAAGGUUCAGUUGUGGAGGAUAGUGUCUACUUGUUAUUAUAUGUUGAUGACAUGUUAAUAGCAGCUAGAGACAUGGUGAAGAUCAGGGCACUAAAGAAGAGUUUGAGUGCAGAAUUUGAAAUGAAGGAUCUUGGAGCAGCUAACAGAAUUUUGGGAAUGGAGAUCAUAAGAGACAGGAAAAAGGGAAUUCUGAAGCUUUCACAGGCAAGAUACAUAAGUCAAGUUUUAAGGACGUUUAACAUGAAAGAAAGUAAGCCUGUUGUCACGCCAAUAAACUCAUUGUUCAAACUUAGAAGUUUAUCAGAGGAGGAGUUAAGGGUUGAAGCUUCUCUAAUGGAAUCAGUUCCCUAUGCAAGUGCAGUGGGAAGUCUGAUGUAUGCCAUGAUUGGGUCAAGACCGGAUUUGGGUUAUGCAGUUUGUUUGGUGAGUCGGUUUAUGGCAAAGCCAGGAAGGAAUCAUUGGGCUGCUGUUAAAUGGGUUUUGAGGUAUCUUCGGGGAGCUACAGAUUUAAGUUUGACUUUCUCAAGGGCUGAUUCAAUGGAAAUUGAAGGUUUCAGUGAUUCAGAUUAUGCUACUGAUCUUGACAGAAGAAGAUCAGUAACAGGUUAUGUUUUUCAGGUUGGAGGAAAUACUGUUAGUUGGAGGUCCACAUUGCAGCAUGUAGUGGCUUUGUCCACCACAGAGGCUGAAUAUAUGGCCAUGUCAGAAGCAACUAAGGAAGGUUUAUGGUUAAGGGAAUUUUGCAACGAGUUGGGGUUUAAUUUUGAGUAUUUUAAGCUACAUAGCGACUCUCAGAGUGCUAUCAAUUUGGCUAAAAAUGCAGUUCAUCAUGACAGGACAAAGCACGUUGCUACCAAGAUUCAUUUUAUCCGAGACAUCCUAGAUGAAGGGCUAAUCCGCAUUGUUAAAGUUCACACUACUCUAAAUCCGGCAGAUAUGUUGACUAAGAGUUUACCUGGAAAUUCUUUCGAGAAGUGCCUCGUAACUCUCAAAGUCGUCGCCUGAUCGUCUACAGGCGUACUCGUUGAUGGCUCUGUUGGUUGGGCCAUCUCGCACGAGAAAUAAGGAGGAACAGGGUUAGUUUCUCGGUGGAAAAGAUUAAACCAACAAAGUUCAGAAGGUAAAUUCUGAGGUAUCUGGUAAAAGAUAAACAGGAGAAGAGUUUUGGUGUACAUGCAUGUGUUGAGGGGACUUACUUAGCACAAGGAGGAAGCGCAUCGUACUCUUGCAUCUCGGCCUGAGCUGUUUUUUCUCGGGAUAAGGAGAAGUCACGGCGAAGAAGAGAUAGAAGUUAGUAUAACUUCGUGUUUCUAAUUCUAAGAUCUGAAGAGAAGUUCAGAGGUCACUUACUUAGAGGAGAACUGAAGUCGAUUGGAGCUGGAGGCGGCGGUAAGGUCAGCGACGGUGAGGUCGGAGGAACCAAGGUCGUGAGCAGGAUCGAUUCAGGAGGUGUUUGCGGUGGAGUAGCUGGAGGAGUCAAAGGAGGUGACUCCAUAACCUAAGUCGCUGUUGAGUCGGCUAGGGUUGGUGAAGAGACAAGACAACGACAAAGGUGGAGAUUUGUGGAGUAGUUGUCGUUUUGGUGUCUAAGUC
This 5188-nucleotide long non-coding RNA is filed under the name Eutrema salsugineum. Its description in RNAcentral is "long non-coding RNA (ESAL_LNC000181)". Lineage: Eukaryota; Viridiplantae; Streptophyta; Magnoliopsida; Brassicales; Brassicaceae. The record is from RNAcentral.